AUAAAGGCGAUGACAGGGAGAAGUAACAGAAAGAUGCCUCAAAGAGAUCCGGCGGUUGGUGCGAGCCGGAAGGCAAAAUCUGCGAAAUACACCCUUAAGCUGCAGGCUGAAAUAUCAGUAGGCCGAGACGGAAGCUUCCACCGUUAUCUAAGGAAGGGGAUAUUAUCUGUAUCCUUUAAGAGUGGGCAUUUUUGCCAAUUAGGGUGGUACCGCGAGCCAUUCGUCCCUAUG
RNAcentral lists this non-coding RNA (231 nucleotides) under Lutispora thermophila. Its description in RNAcentral is "T-box sequence". It matches the Rfam family "T-box leader". From Rfam's summary of the family: Uncharged tRNA acts as the effector for transcription antitermination of genes in the T-box leader family. T-boxes are found upstream of many aminoacyl-tRNA synthetase genes and some amino acid biosynthetic genes usually in Gram-positive bacteria. The anticodon of a specific tRNA base pairs to a specifier sequence within the T-box motif, and the NCCA acceptor tail of the tRNA base pairs to a conserved bulge in the T-box antiterminator hairpin. Lineage: Bacteria; Bacillati; Bacillota; Clostridia; Lutisporales; Lutisporaceae. The record is from RNAcentral.